UACGUAGGCAGCAAGCGUUGUUCGGAAUUACUGGGCGUAAAGAGUGUGUAGGCGGUGCUCUAAGUCUGUUGUGAAAUCUCCCGGCUCAACUGGGAGCUUGCAGGCGAAACUGCCGUGCUGGAGUGUGGGAGAGGUGCGUGGAAUUCCUGGUGUAGCGGUGAAAUGCGUAGAUAUCAGGAGGAACACCUGUGGCGAAAGCGGCGCACUGGACCACAACUGACGCUGAGGCGCGAAAGCUAGGGGAGCAAACAGG
RNAcentral lists this ribosomal RNA (253 nucleotides) under uncultured bacterium. RNAcentral describes it as "partial 16S ribosomal RNA". It matches the Rfam family "Bacterial small subunit ribosomal RNA", at positions 524 to 776 of the family's 1533-position model. The record is from RNAcentral.